GACGAACGCUGGCGGCGUGCUUAACACAUGCAAGUCGAACGAAGUGGCGAACGGGUGAGUAACGCGUACUCAACCUGCCCUUCAGAGGGGGACACCAGUUGGAACCGACUGCUAAUACCGCAUACUGAAGGAGGGGAUUGCGUCUGAUGAGCUAGUCGGGGGGGUAACGGCCCACCAAGGCGAUGGUCAGUAGCCGGUCUGAGAGGAUGAACGGCCAAAUGGGGACUGAGACACGGCCCAGACUCCGAAGGGAGGCAGCAGGGGGGAAUCUUCCGCAAUGGACGAAAGUCUGACGGAGCAACGCCGCGGGAGUGAUGACGGCCUUCGGGUUGUAAAGCUCUGUUAAUCGGGACGCGGUACCGGAAUAGAAAGCCACGGCUAACUACGUGCCAGCAGCCGCGGUAAUAC
Molecule: ribosomal RNA, 408 nt
Filed under: uncultured bacterium
Lineage: Bacteria
Description: partial 16S ribosomal RNA
Rfam family: Bacterial small subunit ribosomal RNA
Source: RNAcentral